GGUUCCUGUCUUAAUGCCCUGUGAAAUAAGAUUUCCCCGCCUAUCAUCUGCUAACUGCUAUGGACUCAGGCUCAGAAAGGCCUUUGCUUCACCCAGGUGCCAGCCUCCACAGGUUCCAACCCAGGGGCCCAAGUUCCUUUUGGCCCUGACUCAGACACUAUUAGGACUGGCAAGUGAUAAGCAGAGUCCUAUACUCUCCUAUUGACUCAGACUACCAUAUCUUGAUCAUCCUUUUCCGUAGGAAUCGGAUAUAACAUCAUCCGGGUACCCAUGGCCAGCUGUGACUUCUCCAUCCGCACCUAUACCUAUGCAGAUACCCCUGAUGAUUUCCAGUUGCACAACUUCAGCCUCCCAGAGGAAGAUACCAAGCUCAAGAUACCCCUGAUUCACCGAGCCCUGCAGUUGGCCCGGCGUCCCGUUUCACUCCUUGCCAGCCCCUGGACAUCACCCACUUGGCUCAAGACCAAUGGAGCGGUGAAUGGGAAGGGGUCACUCAAGGGACAGCCCGGAGAUAUCUACCACCAGACCUGGGCCAGAUACUUUGUGAAGUAAGGGAUCAGCAAGGAUGAGGGAUCAGGACUAGCCUCCCAUUUAGCCAUGCUGAUCUAUGUCCCAAUCCUCAACCUAGUUCCACUUCCAGAUCUGCCUUUCCUCAGCUCACCUUUCUACCUUCUGGGCCUUUCAGACUUGGAUCUGUCAGUCUUGCCCACUCCAUCAGGCUUCCUGUUCUCUCAGUCUGGCCCACUUUCU
This 750-nucleotide small RNA is filed under the name Pongo abelii (Sumatran orangutan). Its description in RNAcentral is "processed transcript". The record is from RNAcentral. Lineage: Eukaryota; Metazoa; Chordata; Mammalia; Primates; Hominidae.